This 601-nucleotide ribosomal RNA is filed under the name Bacillus pumilus. Its description in RNAcentral is "bacterial SSU rRNA". It matches the Rfam family "Bacterial small subunit ribosomal RNA", at positions 557 to 1159 of the family's 1533-position model. Lineage: Bacteria; Bacillati; Bacillota; Bacilli; Caryophanales; Bacillaceae. The record is from RNAcentral.
GGCGUAAGGGCUCGCAGGCGGUUUCUUAAGUCUGAUGUGAAAGCCCCCGGCUCAACCGGGGAGGGUCAUUGGAAACUGGGAAACUUGAGUGCAGAAGAGGAGAGUGGAAUUCCACGUGUAGCGGUGAAAUGCGUAGAGAUGUGGAGGAACACCAGUGGCGAAGGCGACUCUCUGGUCUGUAACUGACGCUGAGGAGCGAAAGCGUGGGGAGCGAACAGGAUUAGAUACCCUGGUAGUCCACGCCGUAAACGAUGAGUGCUAAGUGUUAGGGGGUUUCCGCCCCUUAGUGCUGCAGCUAACGCAUUAAGCACUCCGCCUGGGGAGUACGGUCGCAAGACUGAAACUCAAAGGAAUUGACGGGGGCCCGCACAAGCGGUGGAGCAUGUGGUUUAAUUCGAAGCAACGCGAAGAACCUUACCAGGUCUUGACAUCCUCUGACAACCCUAGAGAUAGGGCUUUCCCUUCGGGGACAGAGUGACAGGUGGUGCAUGGUUGUCGUCAGCUCGUGUCGUGAGAUGUUGGGUUAAGUCCCGCAACGAGCGCAACCCUUGAUCUUAGUUGCCAGCAUUCAGUUGGGCACUCUAAGGUGACUGCCGGUGAC